AUUGAACGCUGGCGGCAUGCCUUACACAUGCAAGUCGAACGGCAGCACGGGUGCUUGCACCUGGUGGCGAGUGGCGAACGGGUGAGUAAUACAUCGGAACAUGUCCUGUAGUGGGGGAUAGCCCGGCGAAAGCCGGAUUAAUACCGCAUACGAUCUACGGAUGACAGCGGGGGACCUUCGGGCCUCGCGCUAUCGGGUUGGCCGAUGUCUGAUUAGCUAGUUGGUGGGGUAAAGGCCUACCAAGGCGACGAUCAGUAGCUGGUCUGAGAGGACGACCAGCCACACUGGGACUGAGACACGGCCCAGACUCCUACGGGAGGCAGCAGUGGGGAAUUUUGGACAAUGGGGGAAAGCCUGACCCAGCAAUGCCGCGGGUGUGAAGAAGGCCUUCGGGUGGUAAAGCACUUUUGUCCGGAAAGAAAUCCUUGGCCCUAAUACGGUCGGGGGAUGACGGUACCGGAAGAAUAAGCACCGGCUAACUACGUG
RNAcentral lists this ribosomal RNA (486 nucleotides) under uncultured bacterium. RNAcentral describes it as "partial 16S ribosomal RNA". It matches the Rfam family "Bacterial small subunit ribosomal RNA", at positions 29 to 507 of the family's 1533-position model. The record is from RNAcentral.